RNAcentral lists this long non-coding RNA (829 nucleotides) under Equus asinus (donkey). RNAcentral describes it as "lncRNA (ENSEASG00005026476.1)". The record is from RNAcentral. Lineage: Eukaryota; Metazoa; Chordata; Mammalia; Perissodactyla; Equidae.
AGUGAUUAAUUGAAGGCCUCUGUGCCCUCUUGUUUAUUUUAAAAGAACAAGGGGAAGCUUCAUUUGCAUGAGAUUUAAGGAAAAGGCUUCUGAGGUUCUUUGGUUAUUUGCAGACUUUCGUUCCAAGUGGAAACUGAUGUUUCUAUUGAUGCAGUGCCUCACUUGGUGUUGGACGUUUCUAUUGAUGCAGUGCCUCACUUGGUGUUGGACGGCAGGGGAAAGAAUUUGAAAUCAGCUCUAUGCCAUGAGGGACUGUAGUGCCAGGAGGCCCUAGCUGGCUGCAGGUCUUCACGCUGGUAUCAGCAUAAUGCCACACUGCCCAUCCCAGUCUCUGACCCAACAGAUGUUCCUUCCUGGUAGGAAUAUAUUAGUUGGUGGAUAUCAACUUAUUGAAAACGCUUUGAAGAUUCUGAGAAUGGAUCCAUGUUGUCAUAUUAAUUGGAAGAUUAGCCCUCAGCUAACUACUGCCAGUCCUCCUCUUUUUGCUGAGGAAGCCUUUAUAUGUGGGACGCCUACCACAGCAUGGCGUGCCCAGCGGUGCCAUGUCCUCACCCGGGAUCCGAACCAGCGAACCCCGGGCCGCCGAGAAGCAGAACGUGCGAACUUAACCACUGCACCACUGGGCGGCCCCAUAAAUCAAAUUUUCUUUUGUUGCUAAUACAACAAAGAUUUACUUUUAAUCAGUGACUCGAAGCAGGCGAGAGAGAAAUCUAGCAGGUAGUGAGACAAGACAAACGUACUUUUUGGAUAUCAGUCUAGAAUUUUUUCAAACAUAAUUUAGAAAAACUUACAGUCCAUCUCAGAUUUAUUCUUUCAAGGACAGAGGUUU